RNAcentral lists this transfer RNA (77 nucleotides) under Clostridiaceae bacterium. RNAcentral describes it as "tRNA-Met". It matches the Rfam family "tRNA". From Rfam's summary of the family: Transfer RNA (tRNA) molecules are approximately 80 nucleotides in length. Their secondary structure includes four short double-helical elements and three loops (D, anti-codon, and T loops). The record is from RNAcentral. RNAcentral also lists the same sequence under 1 other name. Lineage: Bacteria; Bacillati; Bacillota; Clostridia; Eubacteriales; Clostridiaceae.
GGCGACGUAGCUCAGUUGGCUAGAGCAUCCGGUUCAUACCCGGCAGGUCGUAAGUUCGAAUCUCACCGUCGCUACCA